RNAcentral lists this unclassified non-coding RNA (331 nucleotides) under soil metagenome. Its description in RNAcentral is "partial contains 5.8S ribosomal RNA, internal transcribed spacer 2, and large subunit ribosomal RNA". The stretch from base 1 to 119 matches the Rfam family "5.8S ribosomal RNA", at positions 35 to 154 of the family's 154-position model. The record is from RNAcentral.
GAUGAAGAACGCAGCGAAAUGCGAUAAGUAAUGCGAAUUGCAGAAUCCGUGAGUCAUCGAAUCUUUGAACGCACAUUGCGCCCUUUGGUAUUCCUUAGGGCAUGCCUGUUCGAGCGUCAUUUAAACCUUCAAGCUAAGCUUGGUGUUGGGUGACUGUCCGCUUCACGGCGGACUCGCCUCAAAAUUAUUGGCGGCCGGUACAUUGGCUUCGAGCGCAGCAGAAACGCGAACUCGGGCCCGUCGUAUUGGCUCCCAGAAGCUAUCUUCACAAUUUUGACCUCGGAUCAGGUAGGGAUACCCGCUGAACUUAAGCAUAUCAAUAAGCGGAGGA